AGGUAGCACAAUCACUUGUCCCUUAAAUGAGGACCCGUAUGAAAGGCAACAUGAGAGAAGACCUGUCUCCCAAGACUAGCCAAUGAAAUUGAACUAUCAGUUCAAAAGCUGAUAUUUACAAGCAAGACAAAAAGACCCUGUGGAACUUUAACAAACUGUUUACACAAAACUAAACAAUAGUUUCAGUUGGGACAACUUUAGAAAAAUUUAACCUCUAAACACUAACCGACCAACAAGUCCAAAUUAAUCAAAGACCCAAUUUUACUGAUUAACGAAACAAGCUACCCCAGGGAUAACAGCGCCACCUUCUCAAAGAGUCCAUAUCAACAAGAAGAUCUACGACCUCGAUGUUGGAUCAGGGUACCCAGACGGUGCAGCAGCUGUCAAAGGUUCGUUUGUUCAACGACUAACACCC
Molecule: ribosomal RNA, 415 nt
Filed under: Kinyongia msuyae
Lineage: Eukaryota; Metazoa; Chordata; Lepidosauria; Squamata; Chamaeleonidae
Description: partial 16S ribosomal RNA
Rfam family: Bacterial large subunit ribosomal RNA
Source: RNAcentral